AUUGAACGCUGGCGGCAUGCUUUACACAUGCAAGUCGAACGGCAGCGCGGGCUUCGGCCUGGCGGCGAGUGGCGAACGGGUGAGUAAUACAUCGGUACGCUCCCCUUAGCGGUGGAUUGCGCGGCGAAAGCCGGAUCAAUACCGCAAACGACCCGAGUGCGAAAGCGGGGGAUCUUCGGACCUCGCGCUAUUGGAGCGGCCGAUGGCAGAUUAGCUAGUUGGUGGGGUAAAGGCCUACCAAGGCGACGAUCUGUAGCUGGUCUGAGAGGACGACCAGCCACACUGGAACUGAGACACGGCCCAGGCUCCUACGGGAGGCAGCAGUGGGGAAUUUUAGACAAUGGGCGGAAGCCUGAUCCAGCAAUGCCGCGUGUGUGAUGAAGGCCUUCGGGUUGUAAAGCACUUUUGGCGGGAACGAAAAGGACUGUGCCAAUACCACGGUUCGAUGACGGUACCCGCAGAAUAAGCACCGGCUAACUACGUG
This 484-nucleotide ribosomal RNA is filed under the name uncultured bacterium. Its description in RNAcentral is "partial 16S ribosomal RNA". It matches the Rfam family "Bacterial small subunit ribosomal RNA", at positions 29 to 507 of the family's 1533-position model. The record is from RNAcentral.